AACGAACGCUGGCGGCAUGCCUAACACAUGCCAGUCGAACGAGACCUUCGGGUCUAGUGGCGCACGGGUGCGUAACGCGUGGGAACCUGCCCUUAGGUUCGGAAUAACUCCCCGAAAGGGGUGCUAAUACCGGAUAAUGUCUUCGGACCAAAGAUUUAUCGCCUUUGGAUGGGCCCGCGUUGGAUUAGCUAGUUGGUAGGGUAAAAGCCUGCCAAGGCGACGAUCCAUAGCUGGUCUGAGAGGAUGACCAGCCACACUGGGACUGAGACACGGCCCAGACUCCUACGGGAGGCAGCAGUGGGGAAUAUUGGACAAUGGGCGAAAGCCUGAUCCAGCAAUGCCGCGUGAGUGAUGAAGGCCUUAGGGUUGUAAAGCUCUUUUACCCGGGAUGAUAAUGACAGUACCGGGAGAAUAAGCUCCGGCUAACUCCGUG
This 433-nucleotide ribosomal RNA is filed under the name uncultured bacterium. RNAcentral describes it as "partial 16S ribosomal RNA". It matches the Rfam family "Bacterial small subunit ribosomal RNA", at positions 29 to 507 of the family's 1533-position model. The record is from RNAcentral.